Molecule: small nuclear RNA, 63 nt
Filed under: Aotus nancymaae (Ma's night monkey)
Lineage: Eukaryota; Metazoa; Chordata; Mammalia; Primates; Aotidae
Description: U7 small nuclear RNA (ENSANAG00000005477.1)
Rfam family: U7 small nuclear RNA
About the family: Animal histone pre-mRNAs are spliced by a different mechanism than nuclear pre-mRNAs and self-splicing introns. This processing involves the U7 snRNP, which contains only one RNA species: U7.
Source: Rfam by way of RNAcentral
AAAUGUUACAGCUCUUGUAGAAUUUUUCUAGUAGGUUUUCUGUUUUUUAUUGGGGAAACCAUA